GGUUCAGUGGUAGAAUUCUCGCCUUCUAUGCAGGAGACCCGGGUUCGAUUCCUGG
RNAcentral lists this transfer RNA (55 nucleotides) under Loxodonta africana (African savanna elephant). It matches the Rfam family "tRNA", at positions 9 to 63 of the family's 71-position model. From Rfam's summary of the family: Transfer RNA (tRNA) molecules are approximately 80 nucleotides in length. Their secondary structure includes four short double-helical elements and three loops (D, anti-codon, and T loops). The record is from Rfam by way of RNAcentral. Lineage: Eukaryota; Metazoa; Chordata; Mammalia; Proboscidea; Elephantidae.